Molecule: transfer RNA, 69 nt
Filed under: Channa ornatipinnis
Lineage: Eukaryota; Metazoa; Chordata; Actinopteri; Anabantiformes; Channidae
Description: tRNA-Trp
Rfam family: tRNA
About the family: Transfer RNA (tRNA) molecules are approximately 80 nucleotides in length. Their secondary structure includes four short double-helical elements and three loops (D, anti-codon, and T loops). Further hydrogen bonds mediate the characteristic L-shaped molecular structure. tRNAs have two regions of fundamental functional importance: the anti-codon, which is responsible for specific mRNA codon recognition, and the 3' end, to which the tRNAs corresponding amino acid is attached (by aminoacyl-tRNA synthetases). tRNAs cope with the degeneracy of the genetic code in two manners: having more than one tRNA (with a specific anti-codon) for a particular amino acid; and 'wobble' base-pairing, i.e. permitting non-standard base-pairing at the 3rd anti-codon position.
Source: RNAcentral
AGAGACUUAGGAUAACUAGACCAAGAGCCUUCAAAGCCCUAAGAGGAAGUGAAAAUCUUCCAGUCCCUG